GACGAACGCUGGCGGCGUGCCUAAUACAUGCAAGUCGAGCGGAACCAUUGGAGCUUGCUCCAUUUGGUUUAGCGGCGGACGGGUGAGUAACACGUGGGCAACCUGCCCUGCAGAUCGGGAUAACUCCGGGAAACCGGUGCUAAUACCGAAUAGUUUGCGGCCUCUCCUGAGGCUGCACGGAAAGACGGUUUCGGCUGUCACUGCAGGAUGGGCCCGCGGCGCAUUAGCUAGUUGGUGGGGUAAUGGCCCACCAAGGCCACGAUGCGUAGCCGACCUGAGAGGGUGAUCGGCCACACUGGGACUGAGACACGGCCCAGACUCCUACGGGAGGCAGCAGUAGGGAAUCUUCCGCAAUGGACGCAAGUCUGACGGAGCAACGCCGCGUGAGUGACGAAGGUUUUCGGAUCGUAAAACUCUGUUGUGAGGGAAGAACACGUACCAAUUAACUACUGGUACCUUGACG
This 463-nucleotide ribosomal RNA is filed under the name uncultured bacterium. Its description in RNAcentral is "bacterial SSU rRNA". It matches the Rfam family "Bacterial small subunit ribosomal RNA", at positions 28 to 474 of the family's 1533-position model. The record is from RNAcentral.